AUUUUGGACAAUGGGGGCAACCCUGAUCCAGCUAUGCCGCGUGUGUGAAGAAGGUNUUNNGAUUGNANAGCACUGUAAGUUGGNNNNNAGGGCGUUAGGUUAAUACCCUGAAGUUUUGACGUUAGCAACAGAAUAAGAACCGGCUAACUCUGUUCCAGCAGCCGCGGUAAUACAGAGGGUGCAAGCGUUAAUCGGAAUUAAUGGGCGUAAAGCGCGCGACGGUGGUUCAGUAAGAUGGGAGUGAACUCCCCGGGCUUAACCUGGGAACUGCUUUCAUAACUGCUGAGCUAGAGUACGGUAGAGGGUAGUGGAAUUUCCUGUGUAGCGGUGAAAUGCGUAGAUAUAGGAAGGAACCACAGUGGCGAAGGCGACUACCUGGACUGAUACGGACACUGAGGUGCGAAAGCGUGGGGAGCAAACA
This 421-nucleotide ribosomal RNA is filed under the name uncultured bacterium. Its description in RNAcentral is "partial 16S ribosomal RNA". It matches the Rfam family "Bacterial small subunit ribosomal RNA", at positions 361 to 774 of the family's 1533-position model. The record is from RNAcentral.